This 1657-nucleotide long non-coding RNA is filed under the name Anneissia japonica. Its description in RNAcentral is "uncharacterized LOC117124798". Lineage: Eukaryota; Metazoa; Echinodermata; Crinoidea; Comatulida; Comatulidae. The record is from RNAcentral.
AAUCAAUCAUCCAACCCACCAGUGACCGUUUCUUCUAAGGGGAAGAAUUUCGUCAUGUGUGGUUAGAAUUGGAAUGUAGCUCAAAUGUUGGGAAGUUUCUUAUGCUUUUAGGAUAGGAACCUAGGUACCACACUGAGGUCAUCUCUUUAUAUGGUUUCCAUUUCGAACUCAAAGCUCAUCGGCUGGGUAAAGCCUGCACUUACCAAUUCUACAUGCAGCGUUUAAAACCUCAUGAUCCUACACUGUCAUUCAAAGCGUGCGAACGUCAAACAUUUUCAAUGAGACAAGAUCGUGAAGUGCGCUACAGCAUCCGAAUCCAAUGCAAGGCUGAUGGGCAAGAACGCUUGUUCAACACAGGGAUACUCAGUAAGAAGUUUGGACUGGGCUCCAAGACAAGUCGCAGUGAAGUUCUUACAUUAGAGGGCCUAUCUCUACCGAUUUGUGUCACAUUUUCUCUUCUAUUCCCACCUUCAUAAGAAAGUAAAAUUAUGCCUUAAUAUUUCAAAUCGAUUAUAUAUUUAAUACAUUAUGAUUUGAAAUUAUUAAAUUUAGAAAUCAGAAUAAUCAUUUUGAUUUGAUGUGUUUCUAAUUAUGUUCAGUGAAUUAUGUGCUAUCAAGAAUUAUCAUUAUUCCUGACUUUUAAACAUUAACAGGGACAAUAUUUUAUAUACUGCUAUGUGUGCAGUGGUGUAACGGCUAUGCUCUCUUGUGCAGCGGUCUGCAAUGCCCCCGACACCUAGGGUCGUCGCACUAGCACCCUGAUGCAGAAGAGCUUUGAUGAUACAUAACAGCAUAUUGUGUGUCUGACAUUGACUGUAGGACAUGUGAAAGAUUGAAGUGGAGACAACAGAAAAUUAUAUUCAAAUUUUAAGUCUGUGAGUGCCAUUUCCGGGGCGGUGGGUGGGUUAGAGAUAUUUUAAUUCCCCCCACUUCCUAAAUUUUAACCCAGAUCUGCCCUGAUAUAUAGCUGUGAUCCUAGAAUAUUCAAAAUUCCUUUUAUUAUAAUUAUUUUUAAUAAUUAGGGUAAUGGUUAUCAUGAUAAUUAUAGUUAGGUUUAGUGUGGGAACUCUGUUUAUAAUCAUAAAUUUAGUACAGACCCUCCAUCUGUGAAAGGGUGGUACAGACCCUCCAUCUGUGAAAUAGACCGCCUCUAUUUAAAUUUCUGGAUCCGCCACUGAUAUAUCAUUUAUAUAAUUUGAACCCAGAUUUGCCCUAAUAUGCAUCUGUGAUCCUACAAUAUUCAAAUAAUUCCUUUUAUUAUUAUUAUUAUUAUUAUUUUCCUUUUUUCUUCUUUAUGGUUAUCAUGAUAAUUAUGGUUAGGGUUAGUGUGGUAAUUCUGUUUAUAAUCAUAAAUUUAGUACAGACCCUCCAUCGAGCACAUCUAAAAACCCAUGCAUAGAUAUGUCUCAAUGAGAUUCCAUGCAGUACAGUAUUAAGAAUACUUUAGAAGAUGAUAAACCAAAGUAUAUUAAUAUAGAUUUAAGUCAUUCUUGUUAUAAAAUGAUGUAGUAAGCGCUUUAAAUGUUAUACAGUAUUGCUAUAGGAUGCGAGUUUUCUAAACUAAUGUCUAUGCGAUUCGCAAUUUUCUUUAAAUACAAAUCAGUAUUUUUUGUAUCUUCUAAAUUGUAGGGAUUAUUAAAUGUGAUUUUAUAACUAA